RNAcentral lists this long non-coding RNA (212 nucleotides) under Elaeis guineensis (African oil palm). RNAcentral describes it as "long non-coding RNA (EGUI_LNC017654)". Lineage: Eukaryota; Viridiplantae; Streptophyta; Magnoliopsida; Arecales; Arecaceae. The record is from RNAcentral.
CUGAAAUAAGCAGUAUUUCUCGAUACCACGAUCGGACAGCCUUCAUUGAAUUCUUUGACUGCCAAAUCAAAGUGGACGAUGUUUCCUAAACUCUUGCUCGCAAAGCUAAGAAAUAUGGUUUGUGGACUACCUAGAAGCUCUUUGACAAUCAUUUCUUCAUCUCCUGCCCAGAUCACCAAACCAUCCAAGCUCUUAUGGCAGAAGGCCACAUU